UGGAAUAUAGCUCAGCAGGAUAGAGCAUCCGCUUUCUAAGCGUACGGUCAUGAGUUCGAGUCUCGUUAUUCCAG
RNAcentral lists this transfer RNA (74 nucleotides) under Enterococcus faecalis. Its description in RNAcentral is "tRNA-Arg". It matches the Rfam family "tRNA". From Rfam's summary of the family: Transfer RNA (tRNA) molecules are approximately 80 nucleotides in length. Their secondary structure includes four short double-helical elements and three loops (D, anti-codon, and T loops). Lineage: Bacteria; Bacillati; Bacillota; Bacilli; Lactobacillales; Enterococcaceae. The record is from RNAcentral.